Molecule: transfer RNA, 73 nt
Filed under: Perkinsus marinus ATCC 50983
Lineage: Eukaryota; Perkinsozoa; Perkinsida; Perkinsidae
Rfam family: tRNA
About the family: Transfer RNA (tRNA) molecules are approximately 80 nucleotides in length. Their secondary structure includes four short double-helical elements and three loops (D, anti-codon, and T loops).
Source: Rfam by way of RNAcentral
GCCGGGAUAGUCUAGUGGUUAUGACGUCUGCCUUACACGCAGAAGGUCGCGGGUUCGAUCCCCGCUCCUGGAU